CGUGANNNNNGANNNCCUGUGGGUUGUAAACCUCUUUUCUCAAGGAAGAAGUUCUGACGGUACUUGAGGAAUAAGCAUCGGCUAACUCUGUGCCAGCAGCCGCGGUAAUACAGAGGAUGCAAGCGUUAUCCGGAAUCACUGGGCAUAAAGCGUCUGUAGGUUGCUUNNNAAGUCUGCUGUUAAAGAUCNGGGCCUAACCCAGGNAAAGCAGUGGAAACUNNUAGGCUUGAGUGUGGUAGAGGUAGAGGGAAUUCCUGGUGUAGCGGUGAAAUGCGUAGAUAUUAGGAAGAACACCAAUGGCGAAAGCACUCUACUGGGCCAUAACUGACACUGAGAGACGACAGCUAGGGGAGCAAAAGGGAUU
Molecule: ribosomal RNA, 364 nt
Filed under: uncultured cyanobacterium
Lineage: Bacteria; Bacillati; Cyanobacteriota
Description: partial 16S ribosomal RNA
Rfam family: Bacterial small subunit ribosomal RNA
Source: RNAcentral